AAAUGACUUAGGGGCGAACGGGUGAGUUAAUACAUAAAUUAACCUGCCCCGAUGUUUGGAAUAACAGUUGAAAACGAUUGCUAAUGCCGGAUAUGAUAUUUGGAAGCAUUUCUUAAUAUUGAAAGAUGGGAUACAUCGCAACGGGAUGGAUUUAUGGCGCAUUAGUUAGUUGGUGAGGUAACGGCUCACCAAGACGAUGAUGCGUAGCCGGCCUGAGAGGGUGACCGGCCACACUGGGACUGAGACACGGCCCAGACUCCUACGGGAGGCAGCAGUAGGGAAUUUUCGGCAAUGGGGGCAACCCUGACCGAGCGACGCCGCGUGAGUGAAGAAGGCCUUCGGGUUGUAAAGCUCUGUUGUAAGGGAAGAACUGUACGGAUAGGGAAUGAUCUGUACUUGACGGUACCUUACCAGCAAGCCACGGCUAACUACGUGCCAGCAGCCGCGGUAAUACGUAGGUGGCAAGCGUUAUCCGGAAUUAUUGGGCGUAAAGGGAGCGCAGGCGGCUUAUUAAGUCUAAGGUUAAAGUUCGGGGCUCAACCCCGUGAUGCCUUAGAAACUGGUAGGCUAGAGUGCAGGAGAGGUGAGUGGAAUUCCAUGUGUAGCGGUAAAAUGCGUAGAUAUAUGGAGGAACACCAGUGGCGAAGGCGGCUCACUGGCCUGUAACUGACGCUGAGGCUCGAAAGCGUGGGGAGCAAAUAGGAUUAGAUACCCUGGUAGUCCAUGCCGUAAACGAUGAGUGCUAAGUGUUGG
RNAcentral lists this ribosomal RNA (753 nucleotides) under uncultured bacterium. RNAcentral's name for it is "bacterial SSU rRNA". It matches the Rfam family "Bacterial small subunit ribosomal RNA", at positions 85 to 826 of the family's 1533-position model. The record is from RNAcentral.